Molecule: small RNA, 470 nt
Filed under: Pongo abelii (Sumatran orangutan)
Lineage: Eukaryota; Metazoa; Chordata; Mammalia; Primates; Hominidae
Description: retained intron
Source: RNAcentral
GCCGGCGCGGGGGGGACCCGGUGCCUCCCGCCCCCGGCCCCCGGCCUCGGCGGCGCCCCCGGCCUCAGGCGCGGCCGGCCACGACAAGGGACCCGAGGCGGAGGAGGGCGUCGAGCUGCAGGAAGGCGGGGACGGCCCAGGAGCGGAGGAGCAGACAGCGGUGGCCAUCACCAGCGUCCAGCAGGCGGCGUUCGGCGACCACAACAUCCAGUACCAGUUCCGCACAGAGACAAAUGGAGGACAGGUGAGCGGCGGGCCGCGAGGGCGAGCGGGCGGGCGGGCGCGCCGGGAAGGCUCGGACCUGGCCCCAGCGCCGGCCUCGCCGCUCUGCCGCCCCCUGCAGGUGACAUACCGCGUAGUCCAGGUGACUGAUGGUCAGCUGGACGGCCAGGGCGACACGGCUGGCGCCGUCAGCGUCGUGUCCACCGCUGCCUUCGCGGGGGGGCAGCAGGCUGUGACCCAGGUGGGUG